CCAUGCAUUAUUAGGCGGGUCUCCUUUGGCAGUUGCCUGAUCAAACGACCAGACAUUGCCAAAGGAGACUUGCCCGACGAUGCAGCU
This is a non-coding RNA of Triticum urartu, 87 nucleotides long. NCBI's taxonomy places the organism in Eukaryota, Viridiplantae, Streptophyta, Magnoliopsida, Poales, Poaceae. The record is from Rfam.